UACAGAGGGGGCAAGCGUUGUUCGGAAUUACUGGGCGUAAAGGGCGCGUAGGCGGCCUGUUAAGUCGAACGUGAAAUCCCCGGGCUCAACCCGGGAACUGCGUUCGAUACUGGCAGGCUUGAAUUCGGGAGAGGGAUGUGGAAUUCCAGGUGUAGCGGUGAAAUGCGUAGAUAUCUGGAGGAACACCGGUGGCGAAGGCGGCAUCCUGGACCGAUAUUGACGCUGAUGAGCGAAAGCUAGGGGAGCAAACGGG
RNAcentral lists this ribosomal RNA (253 nucleotides) under uncultured bacterium. RNAcentral describes it as "partial 16S ribosomal RNA". It matches the Rfam family "Bacterial small subunit ribosomal RNA", at positions 524 to 776 of the family's 1533-position model. The record is from RNAcentral.